CUACGGGGUGCUCCAGUGGGGAAUAUUGCACAAUGGGCGAAAGCCUGAUGCAGCAACGCCGCGUGAGGGACGACGGCCUUCGGGUUGUAAACCUCUUUUAGCAGGGAAGAAGCGAGAGUGACGGUACCUGCAGAAAAAGCACCGGCUAACUACGUGCCAGCAGCCGCGGUAAUACGUAGGGUGCAAGCGUUGUCCGGAAUUAUUGGGCGUAAAGAGCUCGUAGGCGGGUUUGUCGCGUCUGCUGUGAAAAUCCGAGGCUCAACCUCGGACCUGCAGUGGGUACGGGCAAACUAGAGUGCGGUAGGGGAGAUUGGAAUUCCUGGUGUAGCGGUGGCAUGCGCAGAUAUCAGGAGGAACACCAAUGGCGAAGGCAGAUCUCUGGGCCGUAACUGACGCUGAGGAGCGAAAGCGUGGGGAGCGAACAGGAUUAGAUACCCCAGUAGUC
RNAcentral lists this ribosomal RNA (445 nucleotides) under uncultured bacterium. RNAcentral's name for it is "partial 16S ribosomal RNA". It matches the Rfam family "Bacterial small subunit ribosomal RNA", at positions 339 to 795 of the family's 1533-position model. The record is from RNAcentral.